This 82-nucleotide transfer RNA is filed under the name Anguilla anguilla (European eel). It matches the Rfam family "tRNA". From Rfam's summary of the family: Transfer RNA (tRNA) molecules are approximately 80 nucleotides in length. Their secondary structure includes four short double-helical elements and three loops (D, anti-codon, and T loops). Further hydrogen bonds mediate the characteristic L-shaped molecular structure. tRNAs have two regions of fundamental functional importance: the anti-codon, which is responsible for specific mRNA codon recognition, and the 3' end, to which the tRNAs corresponding amino acid is attached (by aminoacyl-tRNA synthetases). tRNAs cope with the degeneracy of the genetic code in two manners: having more than one tRNA (with a specific anti-codon) for a particular amino acid; and 'wobble' base-pairing, i.e. permitting non-standard base-pairing at the 3rd anti-codon position. Lineage: Eukaryota; Metazoa; Chordata; Actinopteri; Anguilliformes; Anguillidae. The record is from Rfam by way of RNAcentral.
GGUGAGGUGGCAGAGUGGUUAAUGCGAUGCACUGCUAAUCCAUUGUGCUUUGCAUGCAUGGGUUUGACUCCCAUCCUCAUUG